RNAcentral lists this ribosomal RNA (293 nucleotides) under uncultured bacterium. RNAcentral's name for it is "partial 16S ribosomal RNA". The record is from RNAcentral.
GGACUACACGGGUAUCUAAUCCUGUUCGCUCCCCACGCUUUCGCUCCUCAGCGUCAGUUCCGGCCCAGAGUUCCGCCUUCGCCACUGGUGUUCCUCCCGAUAUCUGCGCAUUUCACCGCUACACCGGGAAUUCCGAACUCCCCUACCGGACUCGAGUCACAGCAGUAUCAGGUGGCCCCUCCACGUUGAGCGUGGAGAUUUCACACCUGACUAACUGAACCGCCUACGAGCUCUUUACGCCCAAUGAUUCCGGACAACGCUAGACCCCUACGUAUUACCGCGGCUGCUGGCAC